UACGUAGGGUGCGAGCGUUGUCCGGAAUUAUUGGGCGUAAAGAGCUCGUAGGCGGCCUGUUGCGUCCGCUGUGAAAGCCCGGGGCUUAACCCCGGGUCGGCAGUGGAUACGGGCAGGCUAGAGGUAGGUAGGGGAGAAUGGAAUUCCCGGUGUAGCGGUGAAAUGCGCAGAUAUCAGGAGGAACACCGGUGGCGAAGGCGGGUCUCUGGGCCGAUACUGACGCUGAGGAGCGAAAGCGUGGGGAGCGAACAGG
This 253-nucleotide ribosomal RNA is filed under the name uncultured bacterium. RNAcentral's name for it is "partial 16S ribosomal RNA". It matches the Rfam family "Bacterial small subunit ribosomal RNA", at positions 524 to 776 of the family's 1533-position model. The record is from RNAcentral.